ACCUUUGUGGUGUAAUGGUAGCCCAAUCGGCGCGUAUUCGAGAAAUCCAGGUUCGAGUCCCGGCAAGGGCA
RNAcentral lists this transfer RNA (71 nucleotides) under Stegodyphus mimosarum. It matches the Rfam family "tRNA". Rfam says of the family: Transfer RNA (tRNA) molecules are approximately 80 nucleotides in length. Their secondary structure includes four short double-helical elements and three loops (D, anti-codon, and T loops). The record is from Rfam by way of RNAcentral. Lineage: Eukaryota; Metazoa; Arthropoda; Arachnida; Araneae; Eresidae.